UAGGGCUGCACCUGUGGCAUAUGGAUGUUCCCAGGCUAGGGGUCGAAUCAGAGAGUGCAGCUGCUAGCCUGCGCCACAGCCCCAACAACACUGGAUCUGAGCCACAGCUUGUGGACACAUGGGAUCCUGAACCCACUGAGGGAGGCCAGGGCUAGGAUAUGAAUCGGACUCUUAACCACUGAGCCACAAUGGGAACUCCCCUGGUUUCUAUAAGGUACUUGGGGAGUGGCAACACCCUGAAUCCACAUCCACGUCAGCUCCUUCUCAGGUUUCCUGGCGAUCCCGUAUUAGCUGUGGGAAUAGGCCUGAAAAGUACAAGCAGGCUACAGAGGUAGUGUUACGGACACACGGUCACCAGGGAGAAAGCACAAUCACGCAGUGGUUAAGUGACCAGCAAAUCAUGGCCUUGCCCAAAACAUGGCAGCACGUGUUUUGAAUCUCGGUGAGGGUUUCUCCACCUUCAUACUCCUGACAUGUGGGUCCUGAUAAUUCUUUGUUGUUGGGGGGGCUUCCCUGCUGUCCAAGGUCAAGAGUAUCCCUGACCUCUACGCACUAGAUGCCAAGCUCACUCUCCCUCCAGCUGUGAAAACCAAACAUGUUUUCAGACGUUGACAAAUGUCCCCUGGGGACAAAAUCGCCCAGAUUGAGAAGGGCUCAUCUGGGCAAUUUGCAGAAUAUCCUGUUCUUUCAUUCUGGGGUGACAUAUUUAACAGCUAUUAGAUAAUACAAGAAUAUGACCCACUCAACAACUUCAUAGAAAUUCUAAAGUGAUAUGAAACUUCUUUGGGGGAUAAAGUUAUUAAGGUUAAAGAAAAGUGAACUUCUUUCAAGUAUUAAGCAUGUGGCAGGCACUAUUGGCUGGCUUACUCAACAGCCUUUCCUACCUCCCUUCUCUCUCACUGCCUCCCACUAAAGAAGCAUAAAACCAAAAGCUCAUGUUCCCUGCCUCCCUUGUAGCUAGAGCUGGGCAUGUGAUCCGAUAGCUCCAGCCAAGGAGACCUGAGCAGAAGUCUAUAGUGCCAGGAGAGGGGCUUUGGGGGAAGAUUUUUACUUUCCUGAAUAAAAUGAGGCUGGUGUGGUCCUUCUCUCUUCCUACCGUGAACCUAGAUGUGAUGGUAAGAGCUGCAGCAGCCGUUCUGGGGCCUUGAGGGAAAGACAAAGAAAAUGGUGUCAGCCCUGACACCACUGAGUCGCUAAUCCAAUGCCAGUAACUAUCAGAGCUACUGGACUUCCUGAUAUGUAAAAAACUAAAUACCUUUAUGUUUAGGCCACUGGAGUUCUGCUGUUUCUUGCAGCCAAAGGCAAUCCUAACAGGGAUGAGCACUGAGAUAUAAAUGUCGAAAUCAUGAAGACCAGGCACAAAUGACUGAGGGUGAAACCAUGGAGGAGAGGGCAGGCUCUGAGGUCCAACUGGAGGAUUUGAAUACUAUCUACAUCCCUUGCCAGCUGUGUGAAUGUGGGCAAGUUUGCUGUACUUUGGUUUCCCCACCUAAAGCAAGGGAGCAUAAGAGCAUAUAGCCAGCAUUACCAGGGAGCCUAAAACAAAGUAUAUACAGAGAAGGCUUACCCCACUACUUGACAAAGAGUAAUCCCCAAUGCAUAUUAUUUUACUUAUAAAAUACAAACUCUUACCAAAGCCACACAACAAAAUAGGGAUAAAGACUGGAAUUGAUUUAGUCAUUGACUCUUGGCAACAUUUAGCAAGGAAGCUACCUCUAAGUACUGUAUUUGAAAUACCUCUGCCUUGGAGCUAAUGGAUAAGUGAGCAGAGGAGACAACAAGCAACCAAGACUUCCUGGAGGAUCCACGUCUAGAGAUCCAGGGCUCUCUCCUCCUGCCAGCCACCCGUCUCUCCAAGCUCCAGCCACACUGGCCCUCCUUGUUAAGCUGGGGCUUCCGCACAUGCUUUUUCCACUGCCUAGAAUAUUCUUACCCUCUGCUUUUGCCUAGGUAGCAAUAUGUUAGUUGUACUCCAAUAUCCACUCUUCCUGAACCCCUAAUAACAUCCUCAGCUGGGCCCAUGACUGUUGAGAAAGGAAACUACAUUUCCCAGACUCCCUUGCAGCUAGAGGUGAUCACAUGACUGGGCUCCUGGCCUGUAGGAUAAGAACAGAAGUCAUGUGGGCAACUUCCUGGUUGUGCCCUUCUGCCCUCUUUGCUCUGGUGGGCAUGCAGCCACGGUAGUGCCCCAUCUUGAUUCACGAUGACGGCAAUAUGUGGGGACAACAAAGCAACAAGACGCAAGGAGCCUGAGUCCCUGUCACCCUUAGGGACAGAGCUGCCACAGCAAGCCGGGAUUUUUUUUUUUUUUACACCAGCGUGAAAUGAGCUUCCCUCUUAAGCCAUACAGCCACAUCUAUACUCUCAUAUGGGCUCCCCCCUCAGGGGGUCUCUUCUAUCCUUUGAUGAAUCAGGUCAAAGCCCCUACUGCACUCACUGAGCACCACAGAGCUCCCCUUACUUCCCGGCUAUGACUUUCCACUCGUUUGGUCAAUCCCCCGCCCCCAAGACUGGAAGCACAAGGAUGGCGGGAGUUCUCUGCUCCUCUUUGGAUUCUCGACAUCGAGUUAAGUGGGAGGAUAUUCAGGGGCCCCUGAGAGAGCGUCCGCUCAGUGGGGCCAUGUCACAGGACCAACGGGCGAGAGCUCUGUCCUCUGAGCACAACUCGUGAGCCUGGAGCACUGACCCUCAGAGGCUCUGUCUCCUGCAAGGGGCGUCUAAGAGCAGGGGAAGAUGUACCCCUGACACCCACUCAACCUUGAUUUCGCAUUUCCCCCAGAUCUCCCUUACACAGAAGUUAAACAACAAGGCUGUCCAACCGCCUGGAGAGGGAACAGUUACUAGCAAAUCACUUUAUUAGGUUCACGCUGACAUUUCAUCUUCGAGUAAAUAUGCUCAUUAAAAAUGGGUCAAAUCCAAGAUACACAGUCAGUGAGACAUAAAGAACAUGUUUUCAUGAAAUCCUUUUCCCGCUUUUAAAAGAAUAUAUUUGGAUAUGCAGAGCAGAGACUGAAAAUUAAAAUGCCAAUAAGUUUUCUCUGAAGAGUGUAAUUAGAGAGGGUUUUCGCCUUUUGCUAUACUCAUUCCCACACUGUUUGACUUUAUACUGUACCUCCUAUAAUAUCAGACAAAGACGGGAAUAAGAGGGAAAAAAGUCCCCUUAAGGACUUCAUUCAGGGCCAUGUUUGUUUUCACAUUUUACUACCGGCGUUCCAGCACGGUUUCAUUUUAUACCAUACCUCAUAUAGUAUCAGACCAAGAAGGGACUAAGAGAAAAGAAAAAAGUCCCUUUAAGUAAUUCAAUCAGAACCAUGUUUAUAGUAAUAGAAAACCUGGAAUUUCCCCAGGAUGCAUCGGUCAGCAGCCCUCAGAGCGGGCACAGCCCACCUCCAUUCAGGUGCCAUGGAUUUAGAUCCUUAAGCAGGUCUUCUUAAUCCUAUACUACAAAGAAAAUCUGCAGAAUGACUCUCCCCCACCCAUCAGCCUCAUUUUAGAGCCAAUACCUAAAACCGCAGCAGGCCUCCUCAAGACCUGAGCACCCUAAAGGCACCCUACAACACCAGGCAAAUUUGCCUGACUCCGCAGAGGCUGGGGACCAGUAUCUGAAUCCGUGGGGUCAGGUGGGGCUCCAUCCUGAUUCUGCCAAGACCUGCAGAGGGCCCAGAGGUUUCGAGGAUGUGCUAUGCCAGGAGAGAAUCACCACAUCAGAAAUCCCCACUCCACCGCCCCCAACUGUCCAGCCUCCUGCAGAAGCACGUGGCUGCUGCGCUCUGCUAAGAACAGCCUCUACAUCUUGCAUCUUUUCUUUCCAACAGUAAGAUACGGGGCUGGAUCACGGUCCCCACUUUAGAGAUGAGGACAGUGAGGCUCCCAGAAGUUAAGUGCCUGGCCCUAAGGUGGCAUGCAGGGAACUAGCAAGGCUGGUUUUUCAAAUCCCGGCUCUUGAACCUGGCCUCCUGACCGGCGCCGUAUACAUGCCUGGCUUUCUUUGGACUUGCACUGUCUCCUCACCCAAGCAUCCCCAGGCCUUCAGCUGUCAAUGUUCAGACUGCCCCGAUGCCCAACCAAUACCCUCUUUGGGAAUAAACAGGGUCUGACCCAGGGGUGAGCCCUCUCUUCACCCCUUCCCAUCAAAGAUGCAACUGAGCUGCAAGUGGGCCAGCCCUGACCCUAGCACCAAGUGUGAAGUGGUUCACUCAGACCUCAGGGAUCAGUGGACAAAAGUAAAGGAGAGGCGAGCCCAUCACACUACAACUGCGGUCCUCAGAGUCUAACCUACCAGGUGUCUUUUCUCCUCGACCCUGGGUUAGUAAAAUGAAUGACUUUGAGGGAGAAGCCUUAUGAAAGGGCUCCCAGAUAAUCUAACUCAGCUAUAACUACAGCGUCACCUUCCCCAGCACCCUGCUGCUCCAACUUUCCCCUGGGCCACUGGUCUCCAGCCCUAUAAAAGCUGAUUAGAGGGACUACAGAAGGCACUGCCAUUAAUAUGCACCUCACGGCUGCUCUUAAUAAUCAGAAAAACAGCCAUAAUGAUGGGCACUCUUAGAGAGGCCCUGCUAGUAUUGAGCCAACACGUUUUAAAAAACAAGCAGGGCUGUAGCUAGGACAAACCCUUUUCAAAUGAUGUGAGAUAUUCACUCCACUCCUAAGAACAUGUGCUAAAGAAAUAAGUCAACAGGCACCACCCAUGUGAUAGUCAUUAGAGAGUUUUCUUUAAGAGAAAAAAAAAAUUAAAAAAAAAGCACUGGGGAAACAGCAACCUAAAUGUCAAACCACAGGCCGUAAUUAUGGAAAUUACCGUCCACCAAGACAAGGAACUAUUGCUUAGACAUUUAAAGGUAUAAUUACAAAAGUUAUACAGGAACAUGGGAAAAUCCUUACAAGACUAAAUGAAGACGGGGAUGGAAGAGAGUACACGCUCUGCAAGAGCAACCUUGCGAAACCACAUAAAAAUCUGGACGGAAUUCGGAUGUUAAUGCACCAAACAAUGACCAAUGGAAAAAUACGGGCAACACACAUGACUGACAAAGGGGCAAGUUUCCAAUAUACGAGAGCCUCUGAAAAGUAAGGGGGAAAGGCCUGUGUAAAGAUGCACAAAAAGGAAACGGAAAGAAAGACAUACACGAAAAGAACAGGCACAUGGCCGAGGAUUGUGACAUAGGAUGCUACGCUUCUAAGUAAAAUGCAGGUGAAAAUCAGAUAUAUUUUUAUACAACAUAUUUUGAUAAUCUUUCAAAUUAACAGAAUUGAACCAUGUCCAGUGCCAGGAAAGAUGAAGAGGAAUGGGAAUGCUCAUUCCUUGUCAUUAGGAAUGGACUUGUUACUAACUUUCUGGAAAAUAACCAGCCAAUACCCAUUAAAAAUUAAAAUUUACACCAGUUCCCUGGUGGCCUAGCAGGUCAAGGAUUGGGUGGUGUCACUGCUAUGGCUUGGGGCACUGCUGUGGUGUGGGUGUGAUUCUUAGCCUGGGAACUUCUUUAUGCUGUGGGUGUGGCCCAAAAAAUUAAAAUUUACAUAAUUUUAACCCAUGUACAAAGACGUUCACUGGGACACUGUUUACAGAAUAAAAAUGGGGAAUAAUGCAAGUGAUGUUAUUCAUUGGGCAAUGGCUGAAUUAAUUACAGCAAAUCUAUAACUUGGAAUAUCAUACAACUCGCUAAAGAAUUACCAGUAUGAGUCUAUAUAUCGCCAUGUAUCAUAUGCUAAGGAAAAAUAAAAAGCAGAGUGAUGAUUAUAACAUAACCCAUUUUAUCUUUAAACAUUAUUUAUGUUUAUAAGCAUUUCCAUAAUUACAGAGAAAGGACUGGGAGAGUAUUUUGGUUACUGGUCAGAGAGAGUUAAUGCUUUUUUCUUUUUUUUGGCCACGCCCACAACAUGUGGACGGUCCAGGGCCAAGGACUGAACUCACCCAGAGCAGCAACAAAACUGGAUCCCCCCGCCACAAGGGAACUCCUAAUGCUUUAUUUAAAUAUCUCUAUGUUGUCUGUUUUGUUACAAGGAGUGUCACUUUAGGAACCAGAAAACUCUACAGUUAAACUAGGAAGUUUAUGUGUAAAAAUCAAAUCAGAGUUGCAUUAGCUCAAUGGGAUUAUGAGGAAAACUUUUCCAUGUUAAACUGCUGACGCAAAAGCACAUUCUAAGCAACAGAG
Molecule: long non-coding RNA, 6149 nt
Filed under: Sus scrofa (pig)
Lineage: Eukaryota; Metazoa; Chordata; Mammalia; Artiodactyla; Suidae
Description: lncRNA (ENSSSCG00000055195.1)
Source: RNAcentral